UUUCUCAAAGUUGUUUCAGCUAAGAAACAUGCCGAAAGUUGGUUUGCUUCAUAAAUAAAUCGAGAAAGUUGUACUUUUUGGUCAGAAUCCCAGCUUGGCCAUCCAAAAGAAGCGAAGACAACUCCACUUUCUAUUCCCUUCUUUGUCCCAAAGCAAUGUCAUCAAGAAUUUUAGUUUCUCACAGAAAUGUAGUAUAACGGUUACAUAUCCAGUUCCCAUUAGUACAAAUCUUAGUUAUAAUAUUAACCUAUCUUUAAUAUGUUCUGCAUCCUUCUAUAUAAAAGCCUAAUAUUUCCUCAAUAGCCAUUGGCGAUUUCUCCCAACACAUCUUUCUUAGCAAGAAAGGAAAAGUUAAGAAGAUAUUAUUUUGUUUUAUUUUAUCAAUGGCUCUUUUGUGUGUUAGCAAGAAGAAAAUUGUGGUGAAGCGGGCAUGGAAGAGGUUCACACACAAGCUCAGAUCCAAAUUUAGAGACAUCAAGAUUGCUGCAUCGGUCAGAGAUUCGACUUCUCGUCUCCUCCGUGUCAUCAGUCACCAUCUCAUCGUGCCUUUCAGGACAAGUGUCGUAGAAGGCAUAGUGAGAGCAUUUACAAACAAAUCUACCAAUACGAAGGCCAACGAUGGAGGCAGGGGGAGACCAAGAGUGAUGAGAAAGUUGUGGGGCGAAAAAAGGAAAAAGAAGAAGAGGAGGGGCCGCAGGAGAUUGUUGAUUCGAUGGAAGAUGCUUGGAUGAGAGUGGUGGCUGCAUCGCCGCACCUUAGGGUGGAUGAAAAAGCCGACCAAUUCAUCAAUAAGUUUAGAGAGGCGAUGAGACUGGAUAAGGAGAGAUCUUUACUUGAAUUCCAAGAAAGGUUAAUUCGAAGUGCUUGAUUUUAUUGAUUCUUUAUUCUUCUUCUUUUUUUUUUCCUUACUUGUGCUUUUUAAAGGUUGCUUCACGGAUGGAUUUGCAUAAAUUUUACGCUUUAGGAUUGAAAAAUAUAUUUGGAAAAAAAAAUCCUUACUGGACUUUAGCUAAACUUGGAACAUAUAUAAUUAAGAAGAACUGAGUAAGAUGAUCUGCAUAUAAAAUCUCCAACAUGAUCGAUUUGCAUGAGUUAUUUUCUCACACAAUGUGUAAGAUUUUUUUUGUGUAUUGAGUACCGAUAGCAACA
This is an RNA transcript of Brassica napus (rape), 1149 nucleotides long. RefSeq lists it as uncharacterized. The record is from RefSeq and is a predicted model, not a curated record. Lineage: Eukaryota; Viridiplantae; Streptophyta; Magnoliopsida; Brassicales; Brassicaceae. The transcript is spliced from 2 exons.